Balaenoptera musculus (blue whale) is the source of this 139-nucleotide small nucleolar RNA. The record is from Ensembl. Lineage: Eukaryota; Metazoa; Chordata; Mammalia; Artiodactyla; Balaenopteridae.
AGCACUGUGUUUAAACCUGUGGAUGGGAAUCUUUCCCAUUCUUGGUGAUGCUGUAGUGCAAAAAUAUCCCUGCCUCUUUCUUUUUGGACAGCCGACUUUGUGCCAUCCUGCUGUUACUACGUGGAAUUAAGGAAUGUAA